AUUGAACGCUGGCGGAAUGCUUUACACAUGCAAGUCGAACGGUAGAGGGGGCAACCCCUCGAGAGUGGCGAACGGGUGAGUAAUAUAUCGGAACGUGCCCAGUCGUGGGGGAUAACGUAGCGAAAGUUACGCUAAUACCGCAUACGAUCUAAGGAUGAAAGCGGGGGAUCGCAAGACCUCGCGCGAUUGGAGCGGCCGAUAUCAGAUUAGGUAGUUGGUGGGGUAAAGGCUCACCAAGCAAACGAUCUGUAGCUGGUCUGAGAGGACGACCAGCCACACUGGAACUGAGACACGGUCCAGACUCCUACGGGAGGCAGCAGUGGGGAAUUUUGGACAGUGGACGCAAGUCUGAUCCAGCCAUUCCGCGUGCAGGAUGAAGGCCCUCGGGUUGUAAACUGCUUUUGUACGGAACGAAAAGGUCUCUCUUAAUACGGGGGGCUCAUGACGGUACCGUAAGAAUAAGCACCGGCUAACUACGUGCCAGCCGCCGCGGUAA
RNAcentral lists this ribosomal RNA (496 nucleotides) under uncultured bacterium. Its description in RNAcentral is "partial 16S ribosomal RNA". It matches the Rfam family "Bacterial small subunit ribosomal RNA", at positions 30 to 523 of the family's 1533-position model. The record is from RNAcentral.